GACGAACGCUGGGCGUGCUUAACACAUGCAAGUCGACCGGAAAGGCCCUGCUUUUGUGGGGUGCUCGAGUGGCGAACGGGUGAGUAACACGUGAGUAACCUGCCCUUGACUUUGGGAUAACUUCAGGAAACUGGGGCUAAUACCGGAUAGGAGCUCCUGCUGCAUGGUGGGGGUUGGAAAGUUUCGGCGGUUGGGGAUGGACUCGCGGCUUAUCAGCUUGUUGGUGGGGUAGUGGCUUACCAAGGCUUUGACGGGUAGCCGGCCUGAGAGGGUGACCGGCCACAUUGGGGCUGAGAUACGGCCCAGACUCCUACGGGAGGCAGCAGUGGGGAAUAUUGCACAAUGGGCGGAAGCCUGAUGCAGCAACGCCGCGUGCGGGAUGACGGCCUUCGGGUUGUAAACCGCUUUCGCCUGUGACGAAGCGUGAGUGACGGUAAUGGGUAAAGAAGCACCGGCUAACUACGUG
RNAcentral lists this ribosomal RNA (466 nucleotides) under uncultured bacterium. RNAcentral describes it as "partial 16S ribosomal RNA". It matches the Rfam family "Bacterial small subunit ribosomal RNA", at positions 28 to 507 of the family's 1533-position model. The record is from RNAcentral.